UACGAACCGUGCAAACGUUGUUCGGAAUCACUGGGCUUAAAGGGCGCGUAGGCGGGCGGGCAAGUCCGGGGUGAAAUCUUUCGGCCCAACCGGAAAAGGGCCUUGGAUACUGCUCGUCUGGAGGGGGGUAGGGGCAGACGGAACUUCCGGUGGAGCGGUGAAAUGCGUUGAUAUCGGAAGGAACGCCGGUGGCGAAAGCGGUCUGCUGGACCCCUACUGACGCUGAGGCGCGAAAGCCAGGGGAG
This 245-nucleotide ribosomal RNA is filed under the name uncultured bacterium. Its description in RNAcentral is "partial 16S ribosomal RNA". It matches the Rfam family "Bacterial small subunit ribosomal RNA", at positions 524 to 768 of the family's 1533-position model. The record is from RNAcentral.